UUUUUUUUUUUUUUUUUUUUUUUUGCUUUCUAGGGUCACACAUGAGGCAUAUGGAAGUUUCCAAGCUAGGAGUCAAUUUGGAGCUACAGUCACUAGCCUAUGCCAUAGCCACAGCAAUGUUAGCUCUGAACCAUGUCUGCGACCUACACCACAGCUCAUGACAAUGCCAGAUCCUUAACCCACUGAGCAAAGCCAGGGAUUGAAUCUGCAUCCUCAUGGAUCCUUGUCAGGUUCGUUAACCACUGAGGGGGUUCCCACAAAGGGAACUCUCAGAACUCAUAUUCUUAAUUGAAUGACAUGGAGAGAUCUGAAAAAUCCCACAGUAAGGGGAAAAAUGACCUUGAAUGACAGUGGUUGGAAAAGUGGAGGUGGAGAGAAACGCUCCAACCACCUCUGCUGGAGUCUGGUCGUGCUGUGUUUGGUGCAGCCUGCAGAGCUGACUGGGAGGCCCUGGGCCAGGCCUGAGCUGGUAUGGCAGGGGUCCAAUCAGAGCUGUUGAUGCUGGCCUAUGCCACAGCCACAGCAAUGCCAGAUCUAAGCCGUGUCUACGACCUACACCACAGCUCACAGCAAUGCCGGAUCCUUAACCCACUGAGCGAGGCCAGGGAUCGAACCCGCAACCUCAUGGUUCCUAGUUGGAUUCAUUUCUGUUGCUCCACAAUAGGAACUCCCAAGGCUCAGUUUUGAUGGUGACAAUCUUUGUCUCCAUUGUCUUUGGUUUCUCUUAUAGCCCAUCCCCCACCCAUGCACUUGCCCAUCCCAAACCUGCUCUCCUAAUAAACCCAGGGAGAGGAUUUUUUUUCCUCUUUUUAUGAGCCACCUGCAGCAUAUAGAAGUUCCCAGGCUAGGGGUCCAAUGAGAGAUACAGCUGCCGCCCUGCACCACAGCCUCAGCAACACUGGAUCUGAGCUUCUUCUGAGACCUACACCACAACUCGAAGGAAUGCCAGAUCCUUAACCCACUGAGCAAGGCCAGGGAUCGAACCCACAUCCUCAAGACGCUAUGUUUUGUUCCUAAUUGAGCCACAAUGGGAAUUCCAAAAGGGGAGGGGGGUUAAAUGCCUCCAAGCCUAAUCCUGAGCCCCUCACCAGCAUAUUUUAUUCUACGAGAAGACCAAGAGGGGAAAUGCAAAUGGUGGAGGGGCAGGAAGAAGCAUCACAGGAGCAGUGGCAGGCUGCUGUCAGGCUGGUACAUCUAGGCUGUGUUGAGACCCUGGGAGAUGACAGAGCAUUCCUGGCAGACAGGGCACCACUCUCACAGACAACAGGAGUGUUCUGAACAGCUGAGGUCUGUGAGAACAGGGGGUCUAACUAGAAAAAGCAUUAUACAGGAGCCCUUUUUCCUUGUUUCCUUGUCCCCAUAUGAUUUGAGUCAGAGAGGGGAUGGGGGCCAUGACAACCCUCUGUUAGCAGGUCAGGACGAAGCCAGCAGAGUCCAUAACAAAAUCACAGCCAUUUUCUGGGACCCUGCUGGGUGCCCGGUCCCACAUGUGGGGACCCAGAGAAGUAAAUGAUUGGCUCUCCACAAAGACGCUGGCCAAGCCCAAGUGCAAAGACUACUCACAUGGCAGAAUAAGAGGCUCGGAAAGGAGGAGCUGUGAAGGGAGAAAUAUCCAGCCCAUUCUCAAAAGUCAGGCCAGGGCAGCCAACCACCAGAAAUGAAGCCAGGAGAGGGAAAGAAAUGGGGGGGUCCAGCCUGAGGUUUGGGGUUGCCUUCUCUGGGAGCCAGAGGGCCUAGCACCCCCCCACCCACCCAGGAAUCUGCAGAUCAGAACACUGGAGUCUCAUCCUAUAUCUGCCCCUCACUAGCUCUGUGAGCAUCAGUUUAUCUGUCAAAUGGAGUGAAGUCGCUUGUCCCAGUCACCUUGCAGGAAGGUAUACACAAACGUGCUUUGGAGAAGCCAACCGCGGUGUAGAAUGGAGGGGUUGGUAUCAGGAAAUUUGAGAGAAAAUGAGAGAAAAGGUCAGUGGUGGGUGAGCAGAAUAAGAAUUGGGUCUGGACAGGAAGGAGGAAUGCACGGGAGCCGGGACGAGAGGCUGGAGAUGUGGACACAAAAUCUGCGCAUGCGCUCUGAGGGGCUAUUAAUCAGGGCUCCUUGGGCGAGUCAUGUCCUCAUCCUGCAUCUCAGCGUCCUCACCUGUAAAGCGAUGCCUUCCAUUGGAACAGUCUACGACUCCAAGGGCUCUGGUGGUCCUCCCAGAGGUCAGACCUGCCUCCAGGGACUUUGUUAAAAGGCAGGUUCCCAGGCUCCGUGGUAGAUUCACUGGGCAUCUCUGGAGCCGCUUCUGAGAGCCCACAUAACCCAACACGACUCCUGGGAGCUGCUUUAGCACAGUGAUAUUUCAGAACCACUGCCCUGCACAUGUGUCCUAUGCAGCAACUAGAUAUAGGAGACAUGUCUCAUGUAAGAUGGGGAUCCAAAGAGGAAGGACAGAAGCCAGAGCAACACCCACCCAGGAGCACAGAUGGAGGAGGGAGAGAAUAUUCAGCCUCUCCUGUCUCAGACCCCUUGGUAGCAGCGGCUUUAAGCCCACUAGUCUCCAUAGCGUCUUGGGGCUGGAAGAGAUGCUUUCAGUUCAACAGCAGGUGGCCCCCCUGCAAUUCAAGACCCACCAACACUACACUGUCUCUCCAGCUCAAACCCUCCUCUUCUUCCAACUUUCCCUGAUCUCCAUCCUCUGUGUCCCUUCUGGCCACACCAUCUGACGCUUCAUGGGACAUGGUCCAUUAUUGCUAUCCAGUGGUCUCACCUGUACCAGAUCCAUGUGCCCACAGUGGUGAGCCCCUUGAGGGCAGGGAGCUGGGUACCUUCUAUGGGGCCAUCCACAGCUUCUGGCAAAGGUUCAGGCACCCUGAAGGCAUUUAACAACUAAUACCUGGUCUGGUAUUUGCUCUUCCUUCUCCCUGCCUCCUUCCUCCCAUGCUGCCACCUCCCCAUGACCACUCCCACACACACAUACACACACUCCACACACCUUAGCCCAAGUGACUGACUUGCUGACAUCUGCCCUUAGUCACCACUGAGAAACCACGCACACUGGUCUGAUUAUUCCCUGAUCUGGAAAAAUCCCACUUUACCUCUCACCUCCAGCCCCCACUCCUGACCCUGGGCCAGGGUGAAGGUAGAGAUGAGAGGAGUGACAUCUAAUGAAGGCCCCUUCCUUCCUCCCCCAAGCUGGCAGGCAGGAAGGAGGGAUACUUCUGAGGCGAACCUCGGUGACUCCUGGCAGAAGGUGGCUUCCUGUUUCUAAGAACCUAGGCCUUGAAACAAUCUUCUUCAUCUGCCCUCCUCCCCAUGCAGAUGGCAUUGUGGUGAAUCUCAAGCACAGCCUCAGAUUUCCCUCCCAGAGCUCUCAGACCUUCAAAGGAAACGGGAAGCCAGCAGGCUGCUGAGAUACCCGCUGGAUUUGACUAAACUGAGCCAUUUGGAAAAGCCGCAGAAAAUCCACCCAAACCACCCAGUGCCAAGACCUGGGAAGAGCUUCCAGAACCCCAGGCCCCCACCAUGCCCUUCCUUGGAUCGCCCAGGCUGUCACAGGGAUACAGUUUACAAGGAACACUUUCCAAGGCUGUCUGCAUCCCUUCUCUGGACCCCCCUCAAUCCUGCCAACCUUUGGUUCAUGGUCCUAAUGGCCAGGCUGAGAACUGGACAGCCUUCGGACUCUGUUGGCUUAAAUAGGGUAUGAGUUCAACCAGCAAUAGGUGCUUGAAAAAAAAAAAUGCCUGAAAUAAAGUUCUGUUGAAUUGAGCUGAUGUGUAGUCGUUGAAUUAAUUUCAUAUCUAACAGCCUAUUAGCUGAGAACCCACUGGGUGCCAGGCACAUGCUAGAUUCUUAGAACUCGGGAGUGAACGAACUCCAUAUCCUCAAAGCGCUCACCAAGCUGAGAGGUGAGCCAGACAGCUAGACUCUCUGCUGGGGCUUGAACCUGCUAACAUUCCCCUUCUUCUCUCACUGAUGGGCCUGGGCCUCCAGAAGCUGAGCUGGAUGCCAGCUGAGCACCAGAGAGAAGGAAGACAAAGAUGGCCUCAGCUGCCGUCUUUGCAGCUGCAGUGUGGCUUUGAAGCCAUUCCCAUUAAAAGGCUGAGUUGAGGACUUCCCACUGUGGCACAAUAGGAUCAGCAGCAGCUUGGGAGCAAUGGGACGAAGGUUUGAUCCCCCAGCACAGUGGGCUAGAUCCAGCAUUGCAGCAGCUGCAGCUUAGGUCACAACUGCAGCUUGGAUCUGAUCCCUGGCCCAGGAGCUCCAUAAGCCAUGGGGCAGCCAAAAAAAUUGGGGGUGAGGGAAGAGGCUGAGUCGAUUUCCCUACCCUAGAAUUGGCAAGGCUUCAUGACUUGUUUUGGCCAAUAGGAAGUGGCAGAAGUAACUUUUCUGGUCCAAAGCCUGGGCCUCAGAGGGGCUUGCACAUUUCCUCUCUCUGUCUCAAAUUCUUGCUUACCAUGUAAGCAAGCCUGAGCUAACCUGCUGGAUGAGGAGAUCUCAGAGGACAAAGCAGCCCAGUUCUCCUGGCCAAGAACCAUAGCUGGGUAGGAGAGCCCACGCUAAGAGUGGGAAACCACACUUGCAGAAGCCCCACUGAGCCUCCAUGAGGCCAGGUGAACUAUGUUCAGGCUUCUAGGAGAACUUCGAGCUAUAAUAAAUGGGUUUGUUCUCAGCCACUGGUUGUUGGAUGACAUUACACAGCAGAUUACGGCUUUAGAUAUUGACACAAGCCCCCGCCCCCUUCCAGCCAACCUACUGCAGACAAAAAGCAGGUUUACCCCUCAGCUACUUCCCAUCCCAACCUGGCCCCGAACAGGUAAAGGGAGAGAAUUCAGGGCUGGGAUCCUUGUGCUGAGUGCCACCUAUUAGCUCGCUUCUCUCAAACCCCAGCUUGGGCAUUCCCCUGGGUAAAUGCUAGCUGAGAUCCUGAGCUCCAUUGAAAGUAAACCUGAUGUCAUCCUCUAAGUCAGGAAUUAUAGUAACAUCAUGGACUUUGGUGUCUGACAGACCUGGGUUUGAGUCCUAGCUCUGCCAUUUACCAACUUCAGCUUAGUCGCUUUAAUCACUCAGCCUUGGCAGACUCAUCUGUAAAGUGGGGAUGAUGGCAAAGCUGGUUCCUCAAAGGACGGCUCUGAGGAUUACAUGAGAUGGCAUAGGUAAAGCAGCAGUUCUCAGGAGGGGGUGAUUUAGCCCUUUGGGGGACCUUUGGCAAUAUGGGGAGAUAGUUUUGCUUGUUACCAAGUGGGGGGUUGUGGGGGUGGGGACAGGUUCUGCUACUGACAUCUAGUGGAUAGAAGCCAGGCAUGCUGCUAAACAUCCUACAAAGCACAGGACAGCCCCUGGAGAAAGAGUUCUCAGCCCCAAAUGUCAAGAUGCCAAAGCAGAGAAACCCCGAGGUCC
This 5380-nucleotide long non-coding RNA is filed under the name Sus scrofa (pig). RNAcentral's name for it is "lncRNA (ENSSSCG00015033305.1)". Lineage: Eukaryota; Metazoa; Chordata; Mammalia; Artiodactyla; Suidae. The record is from RNAcentral.